ACCUACGGGACGCAGCAGUGGGGAAUAUUGGACAAUGGGGGGAACCCUGAUCCAGCGAUGCCGCGUGAGUGAAGAAGUAUUUCGGUAUGUAAAGCUCUAUCAGCAGGGAAGAAAGAAAUGACGGUACCUGACUAAGAAGCCCCGGCUAACUACGUGCCAGCAGCCGCGGUAAUACGUAGGGGGCAAGCGUUAUCCGGAUUUACUGGGUGUAAAGGGUGCGUAGGUGGCAGGGCAAGUCAGAUGUGAAAGCCCGGGGCCCAACCCCGGUACUGCAUUUGAAACUGUCCGGCUGGAGUGCAGGAGAG
RNAcentral lists this ribosomal RNA (305 nucleotides) under uncultured bacterium. RNAcentral describes it as "bacterial SSU rRNA". It matches the Rfam family "Bacterial small subunit ribosomal RNA", at positions 337 to 656 of the family's 1533-position model. The record is from RNAcentral.